UACAGAGGAGCCAAGCGUUGUCCGGAUUGACUGGGCGUAAAGCGCACGCAGGCGUCUGGCGCGUGGGGUGUGAAAUCUGGCCGCUUAACGGCCAGGCGCCAUCCCCAUACGGCUAGACUGGAGGGCUGCAGAGGUCGAUGGAAUUGCCGGUGUAGUGGUGAAAUGCGUAGAGAUCGGCAGGAACACCCCAGGGGGGAAACCAGUCGACUGGGGCAGCACCUGACGCUGAGGUGCGAGAGCGUGGGGGAGCGAACCGG
Molecule: ribosomal RNA, 257 nt
Filed under: uncultured bacterium
Lineage: Bacteria
Description: partial 16S ribosomal RNA
Rfam family: Bacterial small subunit ribosomal RNA
Source: RNAcentral